This 506-nucleotide ribosomal RNA is filed under the name uncultured bacterium. Its description in RNAcentral is "partial 16S ribosomal RNA". It matches the Rfam family "Bacterial small subunit ribosomal RNA", at positions 29 to 523 of the family's 1533-position model. The record is from RNAcentral.
AGUGAACGCUGGCGGUAGGCCUAACACAUGCAAGUCGAACGGCAGCACAGGAGAGCUUGCUCUCUGGGUGGCGAGUGGCGGACGGGUGAGGAAUACAUCGGAAUCUACUCUGUCGUGGGGGAUAACGUAGGGAAACUUACGCUAAUACCGCAUACGACCUACGGGUGAAAGCAGGGGACCUUCGGGCCUUGCGCGAUUGAAUGAGCCGAUGUCGGAUUAGCUAGUUGGCGGGGUAAAGGCCCACCAAGGCGACGAGCCGUAGCUGGUCUGAGAGGAUGAUCAGCCACACUGGAACUGGGAAACGGUCCAGACUCCUACGGGAGGCAGCAGUGGGGAAUAUUGGACAAUGGGCGCAAGCCUGAUCCAGCCAUACCGCGUGGGCGAAGAAGGCCUUCGGGUUGUAAAGCCCUUUUGUUGGGAAAGAAAUCCAGCUGGCUAAUACCCGGUUGGGAUGACGGUACCCAAAGAAUAAGCACCGGCUAACUUCGUGCCAGCAGCCGCCGUAA